CUAGGAUUAGAUACCCUAUUAUUGUAAGCUUAAUUUUGUUAGUAUAUAUAAUUUAUGAAAUCAAAAAGUUUUGGCGGUAUUUUAAGCUUUUUAGAGGAAUUUGCUCUGUAAUGGAUAAAACCCCUUAAUCUUACUUAAUCUAGUUAAGUUCAGUUUGUAUACCACUAUAAUUAAUUAUAUUGAAUAAUUAAUUAUUAUAAUUUUUUAUAAAAAAGAAAAUUAAGUCAAGGUGCAGCUUAAGAUUAUGAAUGAAGUGAAUUACAUUGAUUUUUAUAUAAAAAAUAUGUUGAAAAACAAAAAAAAUAGGAUUUAAAAGUAAAUAAAAAAUAUAAUGUUUUGUUGAAUUAAGCUCUAAAAUAUGCACACAUCGCCCGUCGCUCU
This 381-nucleotide ribosomal RNA is filed under the name Ixodes cornuatus. RNAcentral describes it as "partial small subunit ribosomal RNA". Lineage: Eukaryota; Metazoa; Arthropoda; Arachnida; Ixodida; Ixodidae. The record is from RNAcentral.